AAAAAAAAAAAAAAAAAAUCUGUUCUUAUCAGUUUAAUAUCUGAUACGUCCCCUAUCUGGGACCAUAUUAUUAAAUGGAUUUUUGGAACAGGGAGAUGGAAGAAGAGCUUGCUCUGUCCACUCCACGCAUCGACCUGGUAUUGCAGUAACCUCCAGGACCGCGGUGCACCUCUC
Molecule: small nuclear RNA, 174 nt
Filed under: Xenopus tropicalis (tropical clawed frog)
Lineage: Eukaryota; Metazoa; Chordata; Amphibia; Anura; Pipidae
Description: U2 spliceosomal RNA (ENSXETG00000047673.1)
Rfam family: U2 spliceosomal RNA
About the family: U2 is a small nuclear RNA (snRNA) component of the spliceosome (involved in pre-mRNA splicing). Complementary binding between U2 snRNA (in an area lying towards the 5' end but 3' to hairpin I) and the branchpoint sequence (BPS) of the intron results the bulging out of an unpaired adenosine, on the BPS, which initiates a nucleophilic attack at the intronic 5' splice site, thus starting the first of two transesterification reactions that mediate splicing.
Source: RNAcentral